GCCCGCGUAGCUCAGGGGAUAGAGCGUCUGCCUCCGGAGCAGAAGGCCGCAGGUUCGAUUCCUGCCGCGGGCA
Molecule: transfer RNA, 73 nt
Organism: Actinotalea ferrariae CF5-4
Lineage: Bacteria; Bacillati; Actinomycetota; Actinomycetes; Micrococcales; Cellulomonadaceae
Rfam family: tRNA
About the family: Transfer RNA (tRNA) molecules are approximately 80 nucleotides in length.
Source: Rfam